CUGUGUUUUGCUUUCGCGAGGCCCGAAGGGAAAAUGCCGGGAAGGUUCGAAGCGGCUUCGCGUUCGCUUUGGCCUCCUCGGCCGUGUUCAUCCGCACGCCUGCCCCAGGAAGCCUUUCAGAUGCGGGCGCAUGGAGGUAUCACCUGAUGCUGGUACGGACAUCUCGUUGGCUGUGACCAGGUCCCAAGGCCACUGCCUGUGGCAAGGGUGAUUGGGAAGUUGAGGCCCUGGACCGAGUGUGCCCCCUGAGAAGCGGGCAUGGCUGCUAAGGACUGGAGAAGGCUCCGUGUGACCCUGCCAGGAGGGGCUGGGUGGUUCGUCUGCUGAGGAGGAAUCUGGAAAGACGUGUGGGAGCCCCGCCCACGGCCCCCAGUGAGACCUUGGACAAGCACCCCCAUCCCUGCGCCCCAGUGUCGUCCUCUGAUGACGGGGUGACGAGCCCCUUAGCAGAAUGGCUGCCAGGGCUCAGGGAGGUGCCCCCGAGAGCCUGACCUGCAGCACUGCUGUGUUUGCCCCGUGCACUUCACAGGUUUAUCUUUUCCAGGAUAAUAAACGCAGAGGCCUGUGUGCUGGUGUAGAGGACAAAGCCACUGCUUGUGACACCGGCAUCCUACACGGGUGCCAGUUUCUGCCCCGGCUGCUCCGCUUCCCGUCCAGCUCCCUGCUGAUGGCCCGGGGAAAGCAGCAGCAGGUGGCCAAGUGCUAGGGCCCUGUCAGCCACGUGGGAGACCGGAGGAAGCGCCUGGCUUUGGCCUGGCCCAACCCUGCCUGUUGCGACCCUCGGGAGUGAGCCAGCUGAUGAAGAUCUCUCUGGCUUGCUCUCUCUGUGGGUCUGACUUUCAGAUAAAUGAAUACGUCUUUAAAAAUAAUAGAUAAUAAGUGCACAGGGAGCACCUACUGCGGAUUGGGCUCCUGCUGAAGGCUCUUCCCGCCAGAUCGGUUUCUCCCUCCGGCCUUGUGUAGAUGUCCCAGUCAGCCAGCAGAUAGGUGGCAGGAUUCAAACCCAGGUCAUCUGAUGCCGCUCCUGGAAGUCCAGCCUGCGCUUUCCAAACCACAGUGUCCUGCCCGCGCCCCGGGAUGUGUCCUCCCUCUGCUCGUGGAAGAACGCCCACGCUCAGCCACCUGGGGAGCAUGGACGCACUGCUCGGCUCUUACCUGAUAAAAUCCCACGCCCAGGACUGUCUCCCUGAAUGCUGACUGACUGACUGAUUUGAAGGAGUCACAGAGACUGUCCAUCUGCCAGUUCACUCCCCAGCGCCAGGCCAAAGCCAGGAGCCCGGAGCUUCUUCCAGGUCGCCCAUGAGGGUAGCAGGGGUCCAGCACUUGGCCGUCAGCAGGGAGCUGGAUGGGCAGUGGAGCAGCUGGGACACUGGCCAGCGCCCAUACGGGAUGCCAGCAUCACAGAUGGCGGCUGUGCCGGCUACGCCACGGCACUGCCCCCAUCACGGUUGAUCGGGAGCCAUGGCUGCUGCUUGCAGGCCGCUCCGCAGCGUGACGGACGGGCUAGUGGGCGGUUAGGGGGUCCCGGUGGGAAUGAGGAAAGGGGGCGUCCUCCAGAGAGGGUGCAGAAUGCUGGCUUUCAGCAAGGUGAGAGUGCUGAGCCCACUGCAUGCCUCUCCCCAGGAGCGGCCUGCAGCAGGACGGAAGCGCCUAUCCCUCUCCUGGGAGCUUCCAGCUGUGUCAUGAGAACAGCCAGGGAGCGGUGGUCCCACCCUUCUGAGUCCCCGAGCAGACAGAUCCCACCCUUCUGUGGCUGUCAUGUCCAGAGCAAGCCGGACAGGCCAGGCAGGAUGACAGGCCCUGCUUUCCCUGGGUUUUGUCCCUGGCUUGUCUGAUCGUUAUCUGCGUUCUGUUUUUUUGUUUCCUCUCUCAGUUCCAGGGUGGGGAGGUCUGCCUCUUGGAGCUCCCACUCUUGAUCACUGCGAGGUGGUUUCUGACUUAAAUAAACCCUGCUUUCCUGUG
Molecule: long non-coding RNA, 1962 nt
Organism: Oryctolagus cuniculus (rabbit)
Lineage: Eukaryota; Metazoa; Chordata; Mammalia; Lagomorpha; Leporidae
Source: RefSeq, a predicted model, not a curated record